RNAcentral lists this ribosomal RNA (819 nucleotides) under Triticum aestivum (bread wheat). Its description in RNAcentral is "partial small subunit ribosomal RNA". Lineage: Eukaryota; Viridiplantae; Streptophyta; Magnoliopsida; Poales; Poaceae. The record is from RNAcentral.
AUGCUGAAGGUUGCGGGGAGGAGGCUCUCGUCUUCCCUCUCCUGGCGCCCUGCGGCAACCGGCGGAGCCAGGGGCCCGCUCGCCGGCGCCGGCAGACCUAGGAGAGACGACGGCGAUGGUUCGACCUACCAGCGGCGGUUCGCCAUCGAGUCCCCCUUCUUCACCGCCGCGAGAGGCUUUUAUUCGGCUGAAACACUUUUUCCACGAAACCAAGAUGCUAGGUUGGUUGAACUCCCAGCCACUGUUGCUGCACUGAAGAACCCCAACUCAAAUAUCCUUUAUGACCGGUACAACCAUGAAAGAUAUCCUCUUGGAGAUCCCAGCAAGCAUGCCUUUGCCUACUUUGUUCUGAGUGGUGGGAGAUUCGUAUAUGCGUCACUGCUGGGUCUCCUUGUCUUGAAGUUUGUCAGAAUGUCAGCAAGUAAGGAUGUGCUUGCACUUGCUUCCCUUGAGGUUGAUCUAUCCAGCAUUGAACCCGGCAGCACAGUGACUGUCAAGUGGCAUGGAAAGCCAGCCUUCAUCAGGCGACGGAGAGACGAUGACAUCAAGCUGGCCAACAUCGUGGAUGUUGCAUCCCUGCGCCACCCAGAGCAAGACGCUGAGCGUGUGAAGAACCCAGAGUGGCUGGUGGUUAUUGGUGUCUGCACUCAUCUUGGUUGCAUUCCCCUUCCCAACUCUGGAGACUUUGGUGGCUGGUUCAACCUGUGCCAUGGCUCCCACUAUGACAUCUCUGGCAGAAUCCUCAAGGGCCCUGCCUCGUACAACCUUGAGGUGCCCACCUACAGUUUCUUGGAAGAUAACAAGAUGGUCAUAGGCUAA